UCCCUCCUGCGGUGUUCGACAGCGGCUUGAUUGGUCUCUCGACCCUUAAUCGUGCUUUCGGAAUCGCAGGCUGUCGGUAGUCUGUGCAUGACCGCCUCGUGCGGGAAGCCUUCUCUGCCGCGUUUGAUUCCACCUGAUGCUCCCGGUCGGUGAGCAGCAGGCCGCACCGGCACAGGCGGGAGGGGC
RNAcentral lists this non-coding RNA (186 nucleotides) under Gammaproteobacteria bacterium. RNAcentral's name for it is "6S RNA". It matches the Rfam family "6S / SsrS RNA". Rfam says of the family: E. coli 6S RNA was the first non coding RNA to be sequenced, but its function was unknown until recently. The record is from RNAcentral. RNAcentral also lists the same sequence under 1 other name. Lineage: Bacteria; Pseudomonadati; Pseudomonadota; Gammaproteobacteria.